Molecule: ribosomal RNA, 443 nt
Filed under: uncultured bacterium
Lineage: Bacteria
Description: bacterial SSU rRNA
Rfam family: Bacterial small subunit ribosomal RNA
Source: RNAcentral
ACGUAAUAGAUACCCAGGUAGUCCACGCCCUAAACGAUGUCUACUAGUUGUUGGUGGAGUAAAAUCCAUGAGUAAACGCAGCUAAACGCGUGAAGUAGACCGCCUGGGGAGUACGGUCGCAAGAUUAAAACUCAAAUGAAUUGACGGGGGCCCGCACAAGCGGUGGAUUAUGUGGAUUAAUUCGAUGCAACGCGAAAACCUUACCUGGCCUUGACAUGUAACGAACUUUCCAGAGAUGGAUUGGUGCUCGAAAGAGAACGUUAACACAGGUGCUGCAUGGCUGUCGUCAGCUCGUGUCGUGAGAUGUUGGGUUUAAGUCCCGCAACGAGCGCAACCCUUGCCAUUAAUUGCCAUCAUUUAGUUGGGCACUUUAAUGGGACUGCCGGUGACAACCGGAGGAAGUGGGGAUGACGUCAAGUCCUCAUGGCCCUUAUGGCCAGGGC